CCUACGGGAGGCAGCAGUAGGGAAUAUUCGGCAAUGGGGGGAACCCUGACCGAGCAACGCCGCGUGAACGAAGAAGUUAUUCGUAAUGUAAAGUUCUUUUAACAGGGAAGAAAGAGAAAUUUGACGGUACCUGACGAAUAAGCUCCGUUUAACUACGUGACAGCAGCCGCGGUAAUACGUAGGGAGCGAGCGUAAUCCGGAAUUAUUGGGCGAAAGGGGUGCGUAGAUGGCAUAGUAAGUCUUUUGUAAAACUGCUGGGCUAAACCCAGUAGGGCAAAAGAUACGGGAAAGCUAGAGUAUGACAGAGGCAAGUGGAACUACAGGUGUAGCGGUAAAAUGCGUAAAUAUAUGUAAGAACACCAGUGGCGAAGGCGGCUUGCUGUGUCGAUACUGACAUUGAGGCACGAAAGCGUGGGGAGCAAACAGGAUUAGAUACCCCUGUAGUC
This 446-nucleotide ribosomal RNA is filed under the name uncultured bacterium. Its description in RNAcentral is "partial 16S ribosomal RNA". It matches the Rfam family "Bacterial small subunit ribosomal RNA", at positions 338 to 795 of the family's 1533-position model. The record is from RNAcentral.